ACACACCUACCCUUGCGUACACUCACACCCUUGCUAAGUUUAAACAUGUAGGUGAAUAAGCUCUUUCGUAAGUUAGUUUUAGUGCCCCCUCUUCUGUAGUUUACCAUUUUGUUGUAUUUCUCCUCCUUUUAUACCAUACACACCUACCCUUGCGUACAGUCACACCCUUGCUAAGUUUUAAUAUGUAGGUGAAUAAGCUCUUUCAUAAGUUAGUUUUAGUGCCCCCUCUUCUGAAGUUAUCAUUUUGUUGUAUUUCUCCUCUUUUUAUACCAUACACACCUACCCUUGCGUACAGUCACACCCUUGCUAAGUUUUAAUAUGUAGGUGGAUAAGCUCUUUUGUAAGUUAGUUUUAGUUCCCCCUCUACUGUAGUUUACCAUUUUGUUGUAUUUCUCCUCUUCAUACCAUACACACCUACCCUUGCGUACAGUCACACCCUUGCUAAGUUUUAAUAUGUAGGUGAAUAAGCUCUUUCGUAAGUUGAUUUUAGUGCCCCCUCUUCUCUCCUCUUUUUAUACCAUACACACCUACCCUUACGUACACUCACACCCUUGCCAGACUUAAAUACGUAAACAGAUAUUAUAGGAAGUUAUGUUAGCUUUCAGUUGUGUCUCCUUUCUCUAUUCCGUUUUCUGUCCUCAACUCUCCCGCACUUAAUCCUUUCCACCCAAACCCCACACACAAACCUUGGUCCAUUUUCUUAAACGUGUUGGUCUCCCAUUACGACUGUUUCCCAAGGCCACAGAGAAGGUUAACCCAGUUUUUAUGGUUUCUUUUUUAUCUGUUCAAGGUGCAGUUUAAAACUAUCACUGCAACUUUUAAGAGAUGCUUUUCAAACGGGAACUGAGGCACCGAUGGGUUUAAAAAUAUGGACAAUAACUUAACCUAACCUAACCUUUCCACACCAUCUACACACACAUUAGUUCAGUUAGCACUCAGUAUCUCACCUCUCCUAUUCUGCCCCUCAACACACACACACACCUAACCUAACCUAACUAACCUAAUCUUUUCAACCCUUCUAGUACACACAUAAGUUAGUUCUCAGUAUCUCACCUCUCCUAUUCUGCCCCUCAACACACACACACA
Long non-coding RNA from Eriocheir sinensis (Chinese mitten crab), 1086 nucleotides. RefSeq lists it as uncharacterized. The record is from RefSeq and is a predicted model, not a curated record. The transcript has 2 exons. Lineage: Eukaryota; Metazoa; Arthropoda; Malacostraca; Decapoda; Varunidae.